Molecule: ribosomal RNA, 254 nt
Filed under: uncultured bacterium
Lineage: Bacteria
Description: partial 16S ribosomal RNA
Rfam family: Bacterial small subunit ribosomal RNA
Source: RNAcentral
UACGUAGGGAGCAAGCGUUGUCCGGAAUCAUUGGGCGUAAAGCGCGCGUAGGUGGCUUCGUAAGUCCGUUGUGAAAGUCAAAGGCUCAACCUUUGAAAGCCGAUGGAUACUGCGGAGCUAGAGUACGGAAGAGGCGAGUGGAAUUCCUGGUGUAGUGGUGGAAUGCGCAGAUAGUCAGGAGGAACACCAAUAGCGAAGGCAGCUCGCUGGGACGUUACUGACACUGAGGCGACGAAGCGUGGGGAGCGAACAGG